UACGGGGGGGGCAAGCGUUGUUCGGAAUUACUGGGCGUAAAGGGCUCGUAGGCGGCCAACUAAGUCAGACGUGAAAUCCCUCGGCUUAACCGGGGAACUGCGUCUGAUACUGGAUGGCUUGAGUUUGGGAGAGGGAUGCGGAAUUCCAGGUGUAGCGGUGAAAUUCGUAGAUAUCGGGAGGAACACCGGUGGCGAAGGCGGCGACCUGGGUAGAUACUGACGCUGAGGCGCGAAAGCGUGGGGAGCAAACAGG
Molecule: ribosomal RNA, 253 nt
Filed under: uncultured bacterium
Lineage: Bacteria
Description: partial 16S ribosomal RNA
Rfam family: Bacterial small subunit ribosomal RNA
Source: RNAcentral